RNAcentral lists this ribosomal RNA (253 nucleotides) under uncultured bacterium. Its description in RNAcentral is "partial 16S ribosomal RNA". It matches the Rfam family "Bacterial small subunit ribosomal RNA", at positions 524 to 776 of the family's 1533-position model. The record is from RNAcentral.
UACGGGGGGAGCAAGCGUUGUUCGGAUUUACUGGGCGUAAAGGGCUCGUAGGUGGCCAACUAAGUCAGACGUGAAAUCCCUCGGCUUAACCGGGGAACUGCGUCUGAUACUGGAUGGCUUGAGUUUGGGAGAGGGACGCGGAAUUCCAGGUGUAGCGGUGAAAUGCGUAGAUAUCUGGAGGAACACCGGUGGCGAAGGCGGCGUCCUGGACCAACACUGACACUGAGGAGCGAAAGCCAGGGGAGCAAACGGG